AACGAACGCUGGCGGCGUGGCUAAGACAUGCAAGUCGAACGGACUGGUCAAUUUAUUGAACAGUUAGUGGCGAAAGGGUUAGUAACGGGUAGGUAACGUGCCCUGUGCUUCGGGAUAGCGUCAGUCCCUUCGGGGACUUUCCGAAAGGGGCGGUAAUACCGGAUAAUAUCAUUUGUCGAUAGGCAAAUGAUCAAAGAUUUAUCGGCGCGGGAGCGGCCUGCCUCCUAUCAGCUUGUUGGUGGGGUAACGGCUCACCAAGGCAACGACGGGUAGCGGGACUGAGAGGUUGACCCGCAACAUCGGGACUGAGACACUGCCCGGACCUCCACGGAGGGCUGCAGUAACGGAUAUUGUGCAAUGGGCGA
This 365-nucleotide ribosomal RNA is filed under the name uncultured bacterium. RNAcentral describes it as "bacterial SSU rRNA". It matches the Rfam family "Bacterial small subunit ribosomal RNA", at positions 29 to 378 of the family's 1533-position model. The record is from RNAcentral.